Molecule: long non-coding RNA, 1046 nt
Organism: Gavialis gangeticus (Gharial)
Lineage: Eukaryota; Metazoa; Chordata; Crocodylia; Gavialidae
Exons: 2
Source: RefSeq, a predicted model, not a curated record
CCAGUUGAUUUCUUUCUGGUCACAAUCCACUUCCCAUAACAAUAAAUGGCAACACAGCUAUAACUAUGGUUCACCACUAGAUGGUGGAGGCAAGGCUUCUGUUGUUUUGGGGGAAAUGGACUCCUUUAAUCCUUUCUGGUAAUACAGUGAAAUGAGCUCGGAACAGCUGCAGGCAAUAGGCUCCCUUUUGUUCUCUUCUGGAAAUACACUUCCUACAAACACUAAUGAUUAGGUGUCCCCUCACACAUGCAUGCUGGUUUGUGGUCUCUCAGCCCACUCCUUCUUGGGGCUGUCUCCCCCUCCCAGCACAUCCACCCACAGGCUGGGGCAUCCUUCUGCAGGUCUCUGACACUGCAGCAUCUCUCAGCUCCAGCAAGCCUACCAGCUUUGCUUACCAACCCCUCCCCACUCUUUCCCUGCCACCUGUGUCCCUGGUUGCACAGAUCUAAACCCAGUGGGGAAUCAGUUUCUCAUGGGAUGACACAGGCUGUCCCCUGUCCUGAUGCCUGCUCCCUGGGAAAGUUUCAGCUCAGUCUCCCCUUGCUGGGGUCUGAGUCUCUGCCCUGUCUCUCCAGGGCAGCAGUUGUCUCCUCCCUAGCAUUUCUUCUUGUUUUGCCUCCCUCAGAUUUUUAUGGCUCAGUAGCAGCCAAUCAGAGCUCUCAGCUUGCAAUGGGGGCUCUGGUCACAAUGCAAACACUCCCAAUAAAAAGCAUGCACCAUGCAGAGCAUACCCUCCUGUCUGGUAAAGCUAUUGGACACUCUGCAAAAUUUCUGCCACCUUUUUCUUGCAGAGUUCUUAAGCACAGUUCACCCACUCAGCUUGCAGCCAGGUGAGCUUUGCAGCUGUUACAGAGUCAUCUGAAGAAAACAAUGAUACAGAAGAAGAAUACCUAGAUUAACAUUAUCCAGUGUAUGCCAUGGCACAGACUUGACUUCAAAUUUGAGUUGAAGCAUUUUAUUUUACUUAAAUGUGUUCCAUAAUCAUUUGUACCUUUGUUAUUAAUAAUAUUAAAUGUGACUUUGAAUAGAUAAAUGGUAAAACUUUC